AGGAUAAACGCUGGCGGCGUGCCUAAUACAUGCAAGUCGAACGCACCUUCGGGUGAGUGGCGGACGGGUGAGUAACACGUGGGAACGUGCCUUUGGUUCGGAAUAAUCCGGGGAAACCUGGCCUAAUACCGGAUGUGCCCCCUCCUUUAAUCGGGAGGGUGGGAAAGAUUUAUCGCCAUUAGAGCGGCCCGCGUCUGAUUAGCUAGUUGGUGAGGUAAAGGCCCACCAAGGCUACGAUCAGUAGCUGGUCUGAGAGGAUGAUCAGCCACACUGGGACUGAGACACGGCCCAGACUCCUACGGGAGGCAGCAGUAGGGAAUCUUGCGCAAUGGGCGAAAGCCUGACGCAGCCAUGCCGCGUGAAUGAUGAAGGUCUUAGGAUUGUAAAAUUCUUUCAGCGGGACGAUAAUGACGGUACCCGCAGAAGAAGCCCCGGCUAACUUCGUGCCAGCAGCCGC
RNAcentral lists this ribosomal RNA (457 nucleotides) under uncultured bacterium. RNAcentral's name for it is "SSU rRNA". It matches the Rfam family "Bacterial small subunit ribosomal RNA", at positions 26 to 518 of the family's 1533-position model. The record is from RNAcentral.